UGCUCUUACAGCUGGCAUUGCUGGGCUUCACCUGUCAAGUCUCAAGCCUGAAGGCAAUCAGUGAGAUUGGAGUGAGAGACAAAAGGGACUAAGCCUGUGGUUCAGGGAGUAGGGGGGGUUUCCUGUUGGAUCUGCACUGGAAUCCCUUUUGGAAAGAGAGAAGAUUGAGAUUUUAUGCUUUCAUACUUGUGCGUGGCGAGUCCCAGUGCACCUGCUGGCGGGCCUGUCUCAAAGCCCCGGCGUCUUCUGUGAAGGAGUGUGAGGAAUGACUGAAGUGUUAAAUAAGGACAUCAGUGAGCAUGGCGAUUCCCUGCAGGCUGCUGGGAGCAGCGUGGAGAGGAAGGCAGCGCCAUCUUUUGCAAAAUGGUACAAAGAAAAUAAGCACCACUGAAAUGCAACUUCCAGCAAAUGUUUGUGACUUUAGCUAUGUUGCGGCUCGUGAUGUCCUACUGCUGUCAUUAAUGCUCUGGCUGUAGGACACUUGAACAUUUGGGACAGCUUUUCCUGCGUGUGUACAGAUGAAGUGGGUUUUUUUUGUUCUGGGGUGUUGCUUAUGCCUCCCUUUCCCCCCUUCCUCCCCCCAGACCUGGUUUAUCUCAUGUCAGAAACAGUUUUCUUAAAUGCCAGGCCUGAAAACUUGUCCUGGGCUCUGGUGGUCACUCUUUCAUGUUUCUUCUUCCCUCUUCCUGUGUCGUUACUUCCCUAAAGACUGCGUUGCCCCAAAUGCAGCCCUGCCAGCUGGCUGUGCUAGGCAGAGUGUAGCCAACACCAUCAUUUUGGAAGACAGAGCAUGGACAAAUAAAUCACAGUGUGAGCAACACCCGACUACGUGUAACCUAGUAAUGCUAGAUUGCAGAAGCAGAUUUCCUUCUGUUUCCCUUGAUUAUGCACUCUUUCAUUAAACUGGGAGGUGGAGAGAAAUUGCUAUUUGUUUAAGAAUUCAGCUGCCUAGAGAUGGCAAAGCACGGAAGACUUCUUCCUUGCAAAGGACAGCUCCUUGACUAUCCUACUCCUGUUUGCCAAGCAAACACCAGGGGAGAAUGCAAGACUCUUGAAAAGCCUUUGUGACUUCUAGAGGAAAAGUACCAAAAAUGCCAGGCCCUUGGUGGCUGCAGUCAUGGAGACAACUGGUUGAAAGCUUUCUCAUCACUUCCCAGACAGGAUUUUGCUACAGGACACAGAACUAAAAGGGUCUCUAUGGUCUCUGUCCUGCAUGGAAGCACCAGCAACAGUCCCAUUGCACUUUCUGAAGUUGGUCUUGGCAGCCAUAUAGGACUCUGUGAGCCAGUGAGGUUGUGGGUAGGCACAAGGGCACAGGAAGGAGGUGGUUAGGAGACAUUGGGAACUAGGAAAGAUAUAGAUAUCUGGAGUCAGCAGCCUUAACAACUCUUGUGACUUCUCAACGCCAGUCAUUCUGGGAUGUUGAUCACUCCAUGGCAGCCUUGUCACACAGGUCACUGUGGCACGAAGACCAAAGAGGGAGCUACGCUUCAGCGACUCAUCACCCACAUUAUUCACAAGCCUCAGGUUGCACUCUGCAAUAAGCAAGCUGGGCUUUGGGAUGCUGGCUGACCUUCACAGAGGGGGCUAGUGUGAUAUGUUUGUGAUCUGCAAAUACCUGUAUUCUGGGUGGAACAGGAUUACGUGCAGGAAUAUUUCCAGAGCCACAUCACUCUGCCUUCCUAUAUCCAUAUCCUGCCCAGAUAUGGUAUGUGUGUUUUCCCCAUAGUGUUUUGUUGUUGUUGAUCUAAAUAAAACUGGCAGUAGCAAAAGGAAGUGGCAUGGCCUAAUCCACAAGACUCUCAGAAUGUCUCUCUAAUGCAUAGGUGUCCAACCUUUUGGCUUGCCUGGGUUGCACUGAGUGAAGAGAAAUUGACUUGGGCUGCGUGUAGGCCACUCUGAAGGUAAUGCCUCCUAUCUCUUUCCAUGGAAACUACAAUAGAUACAAUGAGCACAGUAACUUUGUUUGAUAGAGCAAAUUCUCAGCUUCAAAACACUAUUUCUCAACAUAGUCACCACC
Long non-coding RNA from Numida meleagris (helmeted guineafowl), 2020 nucleotides. RefSeq lists it as uncharacterized. The record is from RefSeq and is a predicted model, not a curated record. Lineage: Eukaryota; Metazoa; Chordata; Aves; Galliformes; Numididae. The transcript has 3 exons.